RNAcentral lists this long non-coding RNA (476 nucleotides) under Macaca fascicularis (crab-eating macaque). RNAcentral describes it as "lncRNA (ENSMFAG00000056533.1)". Lineage: Eukaryota; Metazoa; Chordata; Mammalia; Primates; Cercopithecidae. The record is from RNAcentral.
GUAAAUGUUCCCUCCUUGGGCACUGGAUGAAUUCUGCUCUGUGUUGCUUUUUACUGUGACAGUGCAACACUGAGUUCCAAUACAAAGUCCCACAGUCAUUUUCCUUUUCAUUCCCCAAGUAUUCAGAUUCUCUCUUCAUGCCAUGUGGUGGCUGCCAGAGAGAGAAGAGGUGUCAGCAAUUCAAGACUGUGUUUCCUUACUCUCUUCAGUGCCUCCUUCCUUGAUAUGAUGUUAAAACCAGGUUCCAUUAAGUCGUUUGAUAACUGCAGUAUUCAAUACUUCCUUGUCUUUGGUAUGUUUUCAUCAGAGAGAGGAAUGGAGUCUUGCCAUGGUGCCCCAGCUGGCUUUGAACUUCUGGGCUCAAACAAUCCUCCUGCCUCAGCCUCCCAGAAUUAUCAAUAUUGAAAGCCAGUUACUGAUGAUAACAUAGAGAUCCACUGGAAUCCUAGAGAAGCUGCACCCUGAAUGGAUAUAAA